CGAAAGCCUGACGGAGCAAGACCGCGUGAGGGAGGAAGGCUCUUGGGUUGUAAACCUCUUUUCUCAGGGAAGAAGAAAGUGACGGUACUUGAGGAAUCAGCAUCGGCUAACUCCGUGCCAGCAGCCGCGGUAAUACGGAGGAUGCAAGCGUUAUCCGGAAUCAUUGGGCGUAAAGCGUCCGCAGGUGGCGUAUCAAGUCUGCUGUCAAAGACUAGAGCUUAACUCUGGAAAGGCAGUGGAAACUGGUAGGCUAGAGUACGGUAGGGGUAGAGGGAAUUCCCAGUGUAGCGGUGAAAUGCGUAGAGAUCGGGAAGAACAUCGGUGGCGAAAGCGCUCUACUGGACGGCAACUGACACUCAGGGACGAAAGCUAGGGGAGCG
RNAcentral lists this ribosomal RNA (380 nucleotides) under uncultured cyanobacterium. Its description in RNAcentral is "bacterial SSU rRNA". It matches the Rfam family "Bacterial small subunit ribosomal RNA", at positions 376 to 770 of the family's 1533-position model. Lineage: Bacteria; Bacillati; Cyanobacteriota. The record is from RNAcentral.